GAUGAACGCUGGCGGCGUGCCUAAUACAUGCAAGUCGAGCGAACGGACGAGAAGCUUGCUUCUCUGAUGUUAGCGGCGGACGGGUGAGUAACACGUGUAUAACCUACCUAUAAUACUGGGAUCACUUCGGGAAACCGGAUCUAAUACCGUAUAAUAUUUUGAUCCGCAUGGUUCAUAAGUGAAAUACGGUCUUGCUGUCACUUAUCGCUGCAUCCGCGCUGCAUUAGCUAGUUGGUAAGGUAACGGCUUACCAAGGCAACGAUGCGUAGCCGACGUGAGAGGGGGAUCGGCGACACGGGAGCGGAACCGCGGUCCAGAGUCCUACGGGAGGGAGCAGUAGGGAAUCUGACGCAAUGGGCGAAAGCCUGGCGGAGCAACGCCGCGUGAGUGAUGAAGGUCUUCGGAUCGUAAAACUCUGUUAUUAGGGAAGAACAUAUGUGUAAGUAACUGUGCACAUCUUGACGGUACCUAAUCAGAAAGCAACGGCUAACUACGUG
Molecule: ribosomal RNA, 497 nt
Filed under: uncultured bacterium
Lineage: Bacteria
Description: partial 16S ribosomal RNA
Rfam family: Bacterial small subunit ribosomal RNA
Source: RNAcentral